GGGUAACAAGAGCGAAACUCCGUCUCAAAAAAAAAAAAAAAAAAAAUCAUGCUCAAUAGGAUUACGCUGAGGCCC
This 75-nucleotide small nucleolar RNA is filed under the name Callithrix jacchus (white-tufted-ear marmoset). RNAcentral's name for it is "Small nucleolar RNA SNORD115 (ENSCJAG00000086194.1)". It matches the Rfam family "Small nucleolar RNA SNORD115". From Rfam's summary of the family: HBII-52 is a member of the C/D class of snoRNAs, which contain the C (UGAUGA) and D (CUGA) box motifs. HBII-52 is encoded in a tandemly repeated array with another C/D snoRNA, HBII-85, in the Prader-Willi syndrome (PWS) region of chromosome 15. The record is from Rfam by way of RNAcentral. Lineage: Eukaryota; Metazoa; Chordata; Mammalia; Primates; Cebidae.